RNAcentral lists this long non-coding RNA (936 nucleotides) under Mytilus galloprovincialis (Mediterranean mussel). The record is from RNAcentral. Lineage: Eukaryota; Metazoa; Mollusca; Bivalvia; Mytilida; Mytilidae.
CAAAAAGAAAAACAACCAAACAAUACACUGUAAAUGCAGAAAACAUUAUUGUCAUUUUUUCUUCUUCAAAAGAUUAUCUAUUUUAAAUCCAUUCAAAAAAUUAGUGUCACGUAAGGUGUCAAAUCUGAUAUAGCUGACUUUUUUGUCGUUUCUAUCUAGUAUAGAUCAGUACAGUGAUUUCAUUUAUUUUUUACAAAAGAGAACAAUUAUUAUGAUGACUUGCAUAAUGCAUCGUGAAUAGUUAUAAUAACUAAAUUGAGUGACAGAUCGGGUGAUUUGCUGAUAAAUCAUGUUAUUAUGUUAUUAUCGUGGUUAACAAAUUGCGUAUCAUAUAUGUUUUCUGUCUACGAGAGCUGGAUUAGGAUGUUUGUAUAUAUCGCCAUGUUAUUUCGGUCAGUUCGGUACAUUGUCAACGAAGGAAAAACAAGAAGUUUUCGCACGAACGUUGCUUUUACUUUAUAAAACCGCCUCGGUGAUCUCGAGGUAGCGUCUUCGCCUCAAGUUAGGAGGUCGUCAGUUUGAACCCCGGCCGGGUCAAACAAAACCCUAUAAUUGAUAUGGAUUGCUUCUCCGCUAAGCACGCGGCAUUAGGAGUAAGAGCAAAGACUGAUCGGCUCGGAAUCAGAAUAAUAUGUCAUGGUAAGAUGACAUGUGUUUUUGUGGACUGUCACCUUGUGAACUAGCCCGUUAAAAAUCCGGCUCAGUCUGUCGGUCUAGUACAAGGGUUAAUAUUCAUAUUGCAUUAACAUAUUGUCGUCCUGAAUAUGCUUUAUUUAAAUUAAACAUCAAAUACCGUACUGUUACCACAUACGUGUAUCGCUUAGUGGUCAUUUCUGAAAAAAAAGAAUAUAAAUAUGCAUUAAUUUUGCAAACUAAAUUUGACAUGAAAAAUAUUCCGAAUGUCAAUAUUACAUGUAACCCACUUGAACACCCGGA